UAUAGGUUGCCUAUAUGGUUGUACCAAACAUGAAUGUUAUGGAAGGAGUAUGUAUCAAACUGGAAAACAAUGCAGCCCUACACACUAGAAUUUUUAUGAUAAAUCUUUACAUUUUCCACUGAUGGAAUGCUGACCGUCAGCAACGCAUUACGGUUGGAACGCUAACCUUAGGCUGGACCCAGGGCAGUGCCCCUAGCUGUCCCCCAAGAUCUACCUCAGCUCUCUCUGCUGAGUGCCGGCAUAUGACAUCAUAUCCUGUCACUCCACUUGAAUAGGUACCUCUGUAGUUGCCACACUUGUGACAUUAAUCGCCCAGUUGGGAGAUCUGGCCCCCGUUUUGCAGCAGAGGGUCUGCCAUCCUAGGCCCAGCUGUCCUAGUUUACACCCCACACCUUGCAGUUAAUUGGGCAGGCAAUUUUUUAAACAUUCUGGAAUCUUGAGUGUGUUGCAGGAUAAUUCUGUAAUACCUUACAUUAGCCUUUGUAUCGCCAAGUAUUUCAAUGACCUCUUUAGUUCACCUCAUGUCUGCAACAAACUGAUGCCAUUAAAUGUCACAUUGAAUGUUAGUUUGUAUCUGUCACACACCUCUCUACCAGCAGAGGGCAGCGUACCCACAUUAUUGUGCUGUGAAAUCCGACUAACCCGUCCUGUGAUAUACAGUAUAGUACAUACCGGAAGAGAAUUAACUUGUUCGUUUUCAUGGUGCUAUGUAUAUGGUCUGCUCAAACUGUACGAUUUAACAAAUAUCCUCAUCUUUAAAUGUCUGUGUAAUGUAUAGUGACCAACAUCAAAGAUGGUCAAAUAAAGGCAUCUGCGUACAA
Spea bombifrons (plains spadefoot toad) is the source of this 821-nucleotide long non-coding RNA. RefSeq lists it as uncharacterized. The record is from RefSeq and is a predicted model, not a curated record. Lineage: Eukaryota; Metazoa; Chordata; Amphibia; Anura; Pelobatidae. The transcript has 2 exons.